UAAUUUACAAAGGUCAACUGUCAGCUCUAUCAUCCAAACUUUUCGCCAAGAAAACCGAAUUAACAGGAGACAACCUGGUGGUGGUCGCCCACGUGUUUUGACUGACCAGCAGGAGUUGGCUGUGGUGGAAAUGGUCAGGGCAAGGAAUGACAUACGGCUGUCUGAAAUCAAACAGGCUAUUGAGAACAGCAAUGACACCUUUGCCAAUGUGCCAUCAAUUAGCCUUCCAACGAUUCCCCGGCUUUUGAAGAAGCACCAGGUUUCCAUGAAACAAAUUUACUUGGUUCCUUUUGAGAGGAACAAUGUCCGGGUGAAACAACUGCGUUCAGAAUAUAUUCAGAGGGUGAUGGAGCUGGACGCUGCUGUGAAUCAUCACAAGUAUAUUUUCGUUGAUGAGGCCGGUUUCAAUCUGGCAACGUUGGCAAGUCCCUGGACAACGUGGGGGAAACAUCUCAAUGUGUGCAGCUAUAUCUGAAGAUGGUGUGGUAGGUUGUAGACCAGUUCUAGGGUCAUACAACACUGAACACCUGAUAGUGUGUGUGUGUGGGGUUUUUUUUUUUUUUUAAAUGAACUGGAGCAGGCCUGUCAGGGAGAAGACAUCGUCUAUGUUGGUGU
Oreochromis aureus is the source of this 615-nucleotide long non-coding RNA. RefSeq lists it as uncharacterized. NCBI's taxonomy places the organism in Eukaryota, Metazoa, Chordata, Actinopteri, Cichliformes, Cichlidae. The record is from RefSeq and is a predicted model, not a curated record. The transcript has 3 exons.